GACAGAGGUCCCGAGCGUUAGGCGGAAUCACUGGGCUUAAAGCGUGUGUAGGCGGACUUGUAAGUACCUUGUGAAAUCCCACGGCUUAACCGUGGAACUGCUUGGUAUACUGCUUGUCUUGGGCCACUUAGGGGCUACCGGAACAAACGGUGGAGCGGUGAAAUGCGUAGAUAUCGGGAGGAAUACCUAUGGCGAAAGCAAGUUUCUGGGCCGUUACUGACGCUGAGCUGCGAAAGCUAGGGGAGCAAACAGG
This 253-nucleotide ribosomal RNA is filed under the name uncultured bacterium. RNAcentral's name for it is "partial 16S ribosomal RNA". It matches the Rfam family "Bacterial small subunit ribosomal RNA", at positions 524 to 776 of the family's 1533-position model. The record is from RNAcentral.